AUUGAACGCUGGCGGCAGGCCUAACACAUGCAAGUCGAACGAGUGGCGGACGGGUGAGUAAUGUCUGGGAAACUGCCUGAUGGAGGGGGGUAACUACUGGAAACGGUCGCUAAUACCGCAUACCAUCAGAUGGGCCCAGAUGGGAGUCGCUUGUUGGUGGGGUAAAGGCUCACCGCGGCGACGAUCCCUAGCUGGUCUGAGAGGAUGAGCGGCUACACUGUGACUGUGACACGGUCCAGACGCCUACGGUAGGCAGCAGUGGGGAAUUUUGCGCAAUGGGCGCAAGCCUGAUGCAGCCAUGCCGCGUGGAUGAAGAGGGCCUUAGGGUUGUAAAGUACUUUCAGCGGGGAGGCGUUACCCGCAGAAGAAGCACCGGCUAACUCCGUGCCAGCAGCCGCGGUAAUAC
This 406-nucleotide ribosomal RNA is filed under the name uncultured bacterium. RNAcentral's name for it is "partial 16S ribosomal RNA". It matches the Rfam family "Bacterial small subunit ribosomal RNA", at positions 30 to 526 of the family's 1533-position model. The record is from RNAcentral.